GUGGGGAAUAUUGGACAAUGGGCGAAAGCCUGAUCCAGCCAUGCCGCGUGUGUGAAGAAGGUCUUCGGAUUGUAAAGCACUUUAAGUUGGGAGGAAGGGCAGUAAGUUAAUACCUUGCUGUUUUGACGUUACCGACAGAAUAAGCACCGGCUAACUUCGUGCCAGCAGCCGCGGUAAUACGAAGGGUGCAAGCGUUAAUCGGAAUUACUGGGCGUAAAGCGCGCGUAGGUGGUUUUGUAAGUUGGAGGUGAAAUCCCCGGGCUCAACCUGGGAACCGCCUCCAAAACUGCAUGACUAGAGUACGGUAGAGGGUAGUGGAAUUUCCUGUGUAGCGGUGAAAUGCGUAGAUAUAGGAAGGAACACCAGUGGCGAAGGCGACUACCUGGACUGAUACUGACACUGAGGUGCGAAAGCGUGGGGAGCAAACAGGAUUAGAAACCCUAGUAGUCC
This 450-nucleotide ribosomal RNA is filed under the name uncultured bacterium. RNAcentral describes it as "partial 16S ribosomal RNA". It matches the Rfam family "Bacterial small subunit ribosomal RNA", at positions 354 to 796 of the family's 1533-position model. The record is from RNAcentral.